AUUUUUUAUUAAGUUAAAGAUACUAUAAAAGUGUGAGAUAUAACUAUUGUUUUUUUAAUUCUGAGUAAUAUCAACUACAUCCAAAUAAUAACAUGCAAUUUUGUGCCUAUUUAUCAUAGUUUUUUUCUCAUUGUGAAUAUAAAUAUAAUUAAAAAUGUUUUUUGCACUUUCAUCAUCUGACUACGGAAAAUAACGCGUAGUUAAAUGAAUUUUCAAUAUGAUAUUAUAAUACAGAAAACUGUGAUGAAUUUGUAUCAUUUAUGGCUAGGCCCGAUCACGCUGACUGAAGCCAUAGGCGCGUGGGCCUCAGGCCCGGGUCAAUCGGGGUCGUACUUGCAGUCGAUAUG
Molecule: long non-coding RNA, 347 nt
Organism: Sipha flava (yellow sugarcane aphid)
Lineage: Eukaryota; Metazoa; Arthropoda; Insecta; Hemiptera; Aphididae
Exons: 3
Source: RefSeq, a predicted model, not a curated record